GGUGACAGGGGAAAGGAGCUAUCCCCAGGAAAUUCAUUGGACGGAGUUACAACACAACAACAGGAGGUUGUGCGAGGGACAGUGUUGUUAUACAUGGCGAUGUCAUUUAUGAAAAAUUAUACAGCAAACAGCUUAGAAUACACUUUGCACACCAGAAGGCCUUUGAGGACGGACGAGACACGUACGUUGAUCCAGAGACUGACUAUACAGUGUUCACCAGACUGGCACAUCUGAGGAGGGGGACAUGUUGUGGUUCUGCCUGUAGACAUUGUCCAUACGGCCAGGUACGGGUGAAAGACGACGCUCUUAAAAAGGCGUUCAAUUCAUCGUUUUACGGCUAGAGUUUGGAGUUUCCUACUGGAUCCAGACGACGUGUGAAAUGUACUCCACAACUGUUGAACCUGCUCAUACUCUAGGUUUCACACUACAAGGAAUGUUUAAGUUACAGCACAUUUCAGAGCUGAACCACACUGAACAUGAAUCAUUCAUGGAAUAGGUGGCAUAGAAUAUUUAAAUCAUGAACAUGAACAUUUUUUAUAGAAAAUCACAACUUAGAAGAUGGUCGAACCAAAUACAAUGCGUAUGUAGUGAUGAUAAUGAUAAAUUAUCAUAUAGCCAGGCGCCGCGGACCAAUCAGAAGGCCGCGUUCCACGUUGGUUAUGACGCCGUAACACGUAGAUUCAGG
Branchiostoma floridae (Florida lancelet) is the source of this 685-nucleotide long non-coding RNA. RefSeq lists it as uncharacterized. The transcript has 3 exons. Lineage: Eukaryota; Metazoa; Chordata; Leptocardii; Amphioxiformes; Branchiostomatidae. The record is from RefSeq and is a predicted model, not a curated record.